GAUGAACGCUGGCGGCGUGCCUAAUACAUGCAAGUCGAGCGAACGGACGAGAAGCUUGCUUCUCUGAUGUUAGCGGCGGAAGGGGGAGUAACACGUGGAUAACCUACCUAUAAGACUGGGAUAACUUCGGGAAACCGGAGCUAAUACCGGAUAAUAUUUUGAACCGCAUGGUUCAAAAGUGAAAGACGGUCUUGCUGUCACUUAUAGAUGGAUCUGCUCUUCAUUAUCUAGUUGGUAAGGUAACGGCUUACCAAGGCAACGAUGCAUAGCCGACCUGAGAGGGUGAACAGCCACACUGGAACUGAGACACGGUCCAGACUCCUACGGGAGGCAGCAGUAGGGAAUCUUCCGCAAUGGGCGAAAGCCUGACGGAGCAACGCCGCGUGAGUGAUGAAGGUCUUCGGAUCGUAAAACUCUGUUAUUAGGGAAGAACAUAUGUGUAAGUAACUGUGCACAUCUUGACGGUACCUAAUCAGAAAGCCACGGCUAACUACGUG
RNAcentral lists this ribosomal RNA (497 nucleotides) under uncultured bacterium. RNAcentral describes it as "partial 16S ribosomal RNA". It matches the Rfam family "Bacterial small subunit ribosomal RNA", at positions 28 to 507 of the family's 1533-position model. The record is from RNAcentral.